Molecule: long non-coding RNA, 399 nt
Organism: Pseudophryne corroboree (corroboree frog)
Lineage: Eukaryota; Metazoa; Chordata; Amphibia; Anura; Myobatrachidae
Exons: 4
Source: RefSeq, a predicted model, not a curated record
GCAGCAGGAGCAGAGAGCAGCCAUUGCUGUGUCUGGCAGCAGGGGGCACUGGACACCCACCCAGAGCAGUUUCACCUGGCUGGUGAAAAACACUAAGGCAUCUUGGGAGAAUGGAGGAGGAAGGAUGGUUACACAUUUAAAUUUUUAAAUGUGCCUAUCCCUGCUAUCGCACCGUCCAUAUCCCAAGAGUACUCCAGUGCCCCCUGUGGAUUCAAAGAAAAGGAUUUAUCUGAGGUGUGAACAAGACAUCUGGUGAGCGUGAGACACCCAGCAGCCAUCCUCAUGUGUCAGGAGGACUGAGCAGGUCCCAGAGCCCCAUCACGGUGCCUCCACCUCACUCACUGAUACAUGAGAGACACAGUGACCAGAAGAUCCAGGAACUCACCAACAAGAUCAUUC